CCUACGGGAGGCAGCAGUAGGGAAUCUUCCACAAUGGGCGAAAGCCUGAUGGAGCAACGCCGCGUGGGUGAAGAAGGUCUUCGGAUCGUAAAACCCUGUUGUUAGAGAAGAAAGUGCGUGAGAGUAACUGUUCACGUUUCGACGGUAUCUAACCAGAAAGCGACGGCUAACUAAGUGCCAGCAGCCGCGGUAAUACGUAGGGGGCAAGCGUUAUCCGGGAUUAUUGGGCGGAAAGGGAACGCAGGCGGUUUUUUAAGUCGUAUGUGAAAGCCCGCGGCUUAACCGGAGUAGUGCAUUGGAAACUGGGAGACUAGAGUGCAGUAGAGGAGAGUGGAACUCCAUGUGUAGCGGUGAAAUGCGUAGAUAUAUGGAAGAACACCAGAGGCGAAAGCGGCUCUCUGGUCGGUAACUGACGCUGAGGUUCGAAAGCGUGGGUAGCAAACAGGAUUAGAUACCCCAGUAGUC
RNAcentral lists this ribosomal RNA (465 nucleotides) under uncultured bacterium. Its description in RNAcentral is "partial 16S ribosomal RNA". It matches the Rfam family "Bacterial small subunit ribosomal RNA", at positions 338 to 795 of the family's 1533-position model. The record is from RNAcentral.